AUCACAUUAUCCAAUAAAUAAUAAUAUUGUGUCUGUUGAAGAAUGAGCCAACGGCUUAUAGGUAUUGGCUUGGUUAAGGGAACUUAUUGGAGCCGUAGCGAAAGCAUGUCUUCAUAGGGCAAUUGUCACUACUUAUGGGUCCGAACUUGGGUCAUCUAUCCAUGAUCGAGAUGAAGCAUGGGUGAAACUAAGUGGAGGUCUGAAUCGACUAAUGUUGAAAAAUCAACGAAUGAGUUGUGGUUAAGGGUGAAAUAUCAAUCGAUCCCAGAUAAUACUUUCCUUGCACGAGAGAUUGGUGGU
RNAcentral lists this ribosomal RNA (300 nucleotides) under Olea europaea subsp. europaea. Its description in RNAcentral is "LSU_rRNA_bacteria". It matches the Rfam family "Bacterial large subunit ribosomal RNA", at positions 574 to 874 of the family's 2925-position model. The record is from RNAcentral. Lineage: Eukaryota; Viridiplantae; Streptophyta; Magnoliopsida; Lamiales; Oleaceae.